GUCAAAAAAAAGAAGGCUCACGACGGAGACCUAGGCUCUCAGAGACGAUGAAGGGCGCGAUACCGGCGAUACAGCUUUGGGGAGUAGGAAGAAUACAUGGAUCCAAAGAUUCCCGAAUAGGGCAACCUCUAUAAGAACUAUCUAUGAAUUCAUAAAUAGAUUAGAGGCAACCUGGUGAACUGAAACAUCUCAGUAGCCAGAGGAAAAGAAAGCAAAAGCGAUUCCCGUAGUAGCGGCGAGCGAACGGGGAACAGCCUAAACCAAUUUUAUUGGGGUUGUGGGAAGACGUUUUCUUAAGAAUCUCUAAAAAGGCGAAGCAGCUGAAUCCUGCACCAUAGAUGGUGAAAGUCCAGUAGUUAUAAAAAUAUGAUUCUUAAAAGAUUUUAUUUCUUCUCGAAUCGAAUCAAUCAUUCGAUUUAAGAACAAGAAUGUCUAUCCCGAGUAGCAUGGGGCACGUGGAAUCCCGUGUGAAUCUGCGAGGACCACCUCGUAAGGCUAAAUACUCCUGAGAGACCGAUAGCGAAAUAGUACAGCGAUGGAAAGGUGAAAAGAACCCCCGUAGGGGAGUGAAAUAGAACAUGAAAUCGUGAGCUGACAAGCAGUGGGAGGAUUAUUUUGAGAAUCUGACCGCGUGCCUGUUGAAGAAUGAGCCGGCGACUUAUAGGAAGUGGCGGGUUAAAGAGUAAGAUCUGGAGCCUAAGCGAAAGCGAGUCUGAAUAGGGCUAAAAUAAAGUCACUUCUUAUGGACCCGAACCUGGAUGAUCUAACCAUGAGCAAGCUGAAGCUUAGGUAACACUUAGUGGAGGGCUGAACGGACCGAUGUUGAAAAAUCGGCCGAUGACUUGUGGUUAGCGGAGAAAUUCCAAUCGAAUUCAGAGCUAGCUGGUUCUCCCCGAAAUGCGUUGAGGCGCAGCGGCAAUGAUGGGCAAUCUAAGGGUAGAGCGACUGUUUCGGUGCGGGCUGCGAAAGCGGUACCAAGUCGUGGCAAACUCCGAAUAUUAGAUGUGCUUUCCAGCUGCCAGUGAGACACACGGCGAUAAGGUUGCGUGUCAAGAGGGAAACAGCCCAGAUCAUCAGCUAAGGCCCCUAAAUGACUCCUAAGUGGAAAAGGAUGUGAGAAUGCUGAAACAACCAGGAAAUUUGCUUAGAAGCAGCCAUUUUUUAAAGAGUGCGUAAUAGCUCACUGGUAAAGCGUUCUUGCGCCGACAAUGGCCGGGACUAAGGAGUCUGCCGAAGCUAUGAGAUUUUUUUUCAUACUUUUCUGUUUGUAAAAAUUGUAAAAAUUGUAAAAAAAAAUCGGUAGGGGAGCGUUCUGCAUCGGGUGAAGCUUUAACGUAAGUUUGAGUGGACGGUGCGGAAGUGAGAAUGUCGGCUUGAGUAACGAAAACAUUGGUGAGAAUCCAAUGCUCCGAAAACCUAAGGGUUCCUCCACAAGGUUCGUCCGUGGGGGGUGAGUCAGGACCUAAGGCGAGGCCGACAGGCGUAGUCGAUGGCAAACAGGUUGAUAUUCCUGUACUUUUUUGAAGGGGAACCGAGGGACGAAGAAGGCUAAAUUGAGUCUGUGAAUGGAAUGCAGUGGAAGCGUUCAAGGUUUAACAGAUCGAAGAAAAACGAAUCUGUAGCUGAGACGUGAUCCCACUCUCCUGAACUUGUUCGGGUUGAGUGUCAAUGAUGUCAUACUUCCAAGAAAAGCUCGUACACCAGCAAUUAGGCAUAAACCUUCAAAAAACCUGUACCUGAAACCGACACAGGUAGGUUGGUAGAGAAUACUAAGGAGCGCAAGAGAACUCUCUCUAAGGAACUCGGCAAACUAACCCCGUAACUUCGGGAGAAGGGGUGCCCCCGAUUGCAUCGGGGGUCGCAGUAUCAAGGUUCAGGCAACUGUUUAUCAAAAACACAGGUCUCCGCAAAGUCGUAAGACAAAAUAUGGGGGCUGACGCCUGCCCAGUGCCGGAAGGUCAAGGAAGUUGGUUAUUCAAGUUUACUUGGAGAAGCUGACGACCGAAGCCCCGGUGAACGGCAGCUGUAACUAUGACAGUUCUAAGGUAGCGAAAUUCAUUGUCGAGUAAGUUUCGACCUGCACGAAAGGCGUAAUGAUCUGAACGCUGUCUCAGAGAGAGACUUGGUGAAAUAGACUUAUCCGUGAAGAUGCGGAUUAACAACACUUGGACAGAAAGACCCUAUGAAGCUUGACUGUAUCCUGGAAUUGGGUUCGGGCUUUUCUUGCGCAGUCUAGGUGGGAGGCAUUGAAGAUUUCUUUCCGGAGAGAUUGGAGCCAUCAGUGAGAGACCACUCUGGAAAGGCUAGAAUCCUAAGAGUGAUCCCUUAUCGGGACAUUUGACGUUUUCAGGAAGGCAGUUUUUUUGGGGCGAAAGUCCUCCUAAAAGGUAACGGAGGCGCGCAAAGGUUUCCUCAGUCUGGACGGAAAUCAGACGUUACAGAGUGUAAAGGCAAAAGGAAGCUUGACUGCAAGACCAACAAGUCGAGCAGGGGCGAAAGCCGGCCUUAGUGAUCCGACGAUACCAUGUGGAAGGGUCGUCGCUCAACGGAUAAAAGUUACUCUAGGGAUAACAGGCUGAUCUUCUCCAAGAGUUCACAUCGACGAGAAGGUUUGGCACCUCGAUGUCGGCUCAUCACAUCCUGGGGCUGUAGUAGGUCCCAAGGGUUGGGCUGUUCGCCCAUUAAAGUGGUACGUGAGCUGGGUUCAAAACGAAUCUGGAUACAGGGAUAUGCCAAUUUAAUGGUGGCAUAUAACACGCCAACUUUUCUAGUUUUUUUAACUAGAAAAGAAGACAUAGUCCUUUCUUUAGCGAAAGCUAAGGGUAAAACAUACCAAUUUAUAUUGGAUGUUUAAAGCGUAAGACAGUUUGGUCCAUAUCCGGUGUUGUCGUUAGAGUGUUGAGAGGAUCCUUAAAUAGUACGAGAGGAUUUUUAAGGUCGUGCCAAUGGUGUAUCAGUUCUCUCUCCAGAGGGAAACGCUGAGUAGCUACGCACGGUUUAGAUAACCGCUGAAAGCAUCUAAGUGGGAAGCUUUCCUCAAGAUGAGCACUCUCCAUAUGCCACAGCUAGAGAAGCUGAUUAAUAGGUAUCAGGUGAAAGGUCUGUAAGGAUUUGAGCCGAGAUAUACUAAAGGCCAAUUGAUUUUGACCA
This 3150-nucleotide ribosomal RNA is filed under the name Stauridium tetras. RNAcentral's name for it is "LSU rRNA". It matches the Rfam family "Bacterial large subunit ribosomal RNA". The record is from RNAcentral. Lineage: Eukaryota; Viridiplantae; Chlorophyta; Chlorophyceae; Sphaeropleales; Hydrodictyaceae.